Molecule: long non-coding RNA, 1118 nt
Filed under: Homo sapiens (human)
Lineage: Eukaryota; Metazoa; Chordata; Mammalia; Primates; Hominidae
Description: long non-coding RNA NONHSAT169112.1
Source: RNAcentral
GCCGAGGAUGAGAGGCCAGUGCCUGUUUCCAGGCAGCCAGGGCCUCAGAAACUCCGGCCGGAGCACUCACCCGUCGGUGGAGGCCGUUACCAGGGCCACCUUAUUUGCGAGCGGGUCCCGGCGGGUCAUCCCGGAGCUGGCCAUCCGCACCGAAUUCCAAGCCCGGGCACAGAGGCCUAGCAGCCCCGCCUUGUGCAUGGAUCAGACCAGCAAAAUUCCUUCUCCAAGAAAGUCUGGGUCUAUGUGUGUGACAGCCCACAGGAGGGCAAAUGUUUUGAGACUGCCCAUGGAGGUGAGGCCUGUGGUCGCCAUGGAGUCCACCAGGUGCCACUUCGGAUAAACCCUUUGGACUCCUAACUCCAAUCAGGUGUCUGCUUUGUUGAGGACUCACAGACACAGUCUCCUUUCUUCAAGAUCUUUACAAUGCAAGACCUCACUAACACACAGGGAUGGUCUCCCAGAGGGUCUGUGCUGUUCCUUCACUCAGAACAUCAAGAUGCACUGAAGUAAGGAUCCUCUAUUCUACAGUUCCUGCUAGCUGAGCUAUUCCAUGGGGGCUUCAGCAGGAAAUUCCAAGGUUGGCUUUGACAAGCUAAGGCCGGCUGGUGGAGCACAUCGAGUUCUGGAGGUUCAUGUGUGUUUUCAUGAAGAUCUGUCUGCCCGUAGCAGAUAAAGAGUUGUUGCCCCACUCCUCCUGGGGUCUUCUAUUUUCCUGGGAGGAAUUUCUGGAUUAACUGAACACACACACACACACACACACCCUUUUGAAGCAUCAACAGUAAUUCUGAGUUCUUAGGGACAAUGCAGAUUAAAUCCACAAUAAGAAAGACAACUAUGGCCAGGUGUGGUGGCUCACGCCUGUAAUCCCAGAACUUUGGGAGGCUGAGGCGGAUGGAUCACCUGAGGUCAGGAGUUAGAGACCAACCUGACCAACAUGGAGAAACCCCGUUUCUACUAAAAAUGCAAAAUUAGCCGGGCAUGGUGGCAGGCGCCUGUAAUCCCAAAUACUCGGGAGGCUGAGGCAGGAGAAUCACUUAAACCCGGGAGGCAGAGGUUGCAGUGAGCCAAGAUCGCGCCAUUGCACUCCAGCCUGGGCAAGAAGAGCAAAACUCCAUCUC